RNAcentral lists this ribosomal RNA (460 nucleotides) under uncultured bacterium. RNAcentral describes it as "partial 16S ribosomal RNA". It matches the Rfam family "Bacterial small subunit ribosomal RNA", at positions 338 to 795 of the family's 1533-position model. The record is from RNAcentral.
CCUACGGGAGGCAGCAGUGAGGAAUAUUGGUCAAUGGACGAGAGUCUGAACCAGCCAAGUAGCGUGAAGGAUGACUGCCCUAUGGGUUGUAAACUUCUUUUAUAUGGGAAUAAAACGUUCCACGUGUGGGAUUUUGUAUGUACCAUAUGAAUAAGGAUCGGCUAACUCCGGGCCAGCAGCCGCGGUAAUACGGAGGAUCCGAGCGUUAUCCGUAUUUAUUGGGUUUAAAGGGAGCGUAGGUGGAUUGUUAAGUCAGUUGUGAAAGUUUGCGGCUCAACCGUAAAAUUGCAGUUGAAACUGGCAGUCUUGAGUACAGUAGAGGUGGGCGGAAUUCGUGGUGUAGCGGUGAAAUGCUUAGAUAUCACGAAGAACUCCGAUUGCGAAGGCAGUUCACUGGACUGCAACUGACACUGAGGCUCGAAAGUGUGGGUAUCAAACAGGAUUAGAUACACUUGUAGUC